GUUGGAGGUCCAAGACUGGGGCGUUGGCUAGGAAGGGGUGGGAGGGCCUCUCUGGAGUCACAGAAGCCUCAUGCAUCUUGACCAGGACGGUGGAUGCAUGGCUUACAUUGGUCACAACUUGUCAACUUGUAUGACUGAAAACUGAACAUCACAUUGAAUUGGACUCAAAGGCAAGACCUGAGGCAAAAUUCAUGUAAGGAGGGAGUUUGGGCGAAGCUUGAGGACUGCUGCCCGGAAGCGUAGAUUCAAGUUGCCCUGAAUACACCUCCUAUUAGCAGCUGUUACAGGUUCAGAAAAAGGAUGGAGGUAGAAAGUCCUCUCUCCCAAACACUAUGAUUGACACUGCAGAGUUCUGCAACUCUCGUACGAGGGAGAUUUCAUGAUGAUCUCAGUAACCGAUCAGAGAAUCAACGACUGACUUCGCUGAGGCACGGUGAUGAAAAGGUCAAGGUGGUCUGGUCUGAGUGAAGUCACAGCAAGAACCCUUGUCCAGGGCCAUUCUCACCUUUGGGGACAGCUCCUUCCCUGUAUGGUCCUCAUGUCACUGCACUUUCCUGCCUUGUUUCUUGCUGAAGCCAUUAUUUCUUAAUUCCUUAGUAGAUAUGCAGAGCGGACAUCCCAAAGAAGCUAGAAAAAUUGAUGAGCAGGGAACAGAUCAAAUCCUCUCCAUCAGUGGAAGGCAAUUCACGAGGGAAGAAGGCAAGACCAUGGGGUAAUUUUUCUGAGACUUGACAAUGUUUGCCAAGUAAAUAAAUCUGCCAUUUAACACUACGAUAAAAGCUGUCAUAGCCAGGGUAUUAGUGACUACUUGAGGUUUGAGGACAAUGAAGACAGAGUAAGAUAAACAUCCUUACUAUCCAGAAAAAAAAAACGGAACCAGAAGACAGCGCUUCUUACUAUCCACAAAAGAAAUGGAACCGCAAGACAGCCCUUCUUAUUUUUCUCCAUCUUCGAUGGUGAGGAAGAAUAAAAAAAAAGUUGCUUUUAAAGUAUAUUCAUUAAAAUCAAAUUCUAUUAUCAUACACACAAAAUAUUUACGUGAAACCAGCCACAAAAGAAUGACAAGGAACGCUACUGAUUUGUCCAUUCUGGGGGAUAAGAACACAGAUUCUUAUCUCACUCUUGUUAAAAGAAAACUUCAGCUGAAUUAAAUUUAAAGGAGUUUAAUUGAGCAAUGAAUGAUUUGCACAUCGGGCAGCCCCCAGAAUUACAGCAGAUUCAGAGAGACUCCAGUGCAGCCACGUGGUGGAAGAUUUAUAGACAAAAAAAGGGAAGUGAGGUAGAGAAACACCUGGAUUAGUUACAGGUUGGCAUUUGCCUUAUUUACACACAGUUUGAACAUUCAGCAGUGUAUGAGUGAUUGAAGUACGGCUGCUGGGACUGGCCGAGACUCAGCAAUUGUGACAGGUACAUACUCCUAAUUUAGGUUUUCAAUCUUGUCUACCUAUUAAGUUAGGCUCAGUUUGUUCACAGGGACUCCAAUACAGAAGUACGGAGUCCUUCUCAGGCCAUAUUUAGUUCGCUUUAACAAUUCCCCCUUUUUGGUCAUUUUAUCAGUUUUGAGAGAUUGAUCGAAACUUGAGUUAUUGAUGUCACUGUCACCAUUGGUCUUGAAACCCACUAGGAAGCAGAACAGUGAGUUUUGCAAAGGUAGGAACAAGGACUGAGUUGAGGAUACCACCUUAUGCUGGAAAGUCCUGUUUGCAAGAGAAAAACAAAACCUGGUCUAUUCUAGGACCCAUGUGUUUCCUUAAAGUCUUAAUUCGAUUAUGUCACAUUUAGCACGAAUGAUGCCAUUUUGGUUCGGUUUGGUCUGUUGGGACCUAGUGCUCAGUCCAAAACAAUGGCCUCCCAUCAUUUUGUUUAAAAAAUUCCCCCUUUGUCAGGUUGUCACUUAGGCAAGAGUGUGACCAAAACUUAGGAUGUUAGCGCCACUCUCCGUUACUAUCAUUUUGGAUUUCCAGUCUCAGCAUGUCACUCAUCGGUUUCGGUGUCCUCGUGGUCACACAUUUCUUUCAGCUCUUGUCAUUCCAGUUGAAGAGAGACCAUCUGACGUUCUAAAGAUGGCUUCAUGCAAACAUUUAAAACCUUUGAGAGAAUACAGUGCACCAGGGAGACUAUUCUUAUGACUACUGAGAGGGUUAACACCAAGAAUUUGGAGUAUGCUCCUUAGCCAGGGUCCCCAUAAACCAGACCACCUAAACUCAAAUAGACCAUUCUUUGACUUAACUCAGUGGUCUUUUCGUUAAUUCCCUACAACAGACUCUCUAUAACACCUGAUGUUUUCUCCAUAGGCCUUAAGUGCCAGCAUCUGCACAGGUACUUUCCUGUUUAGCCAAUUCUAUUUUUUAGCAUAACUUUCACAAGAGAAUUUAACAUCUGUUGUGUAGCCUUUACAGUAGAAUCUGCUACAGAGUCUACCAUGAGGGAUAUGUUUCUAGUCAUUGCCUUUUUAAUUCCAAACCAUGGAAAAAGGACCUAACAAAUGAUGCCCUUCUAGAAGAGGGAAGGCCUCUUGGCAAUGGUCUCUUUAACCCAUGCUGUGGGUUAAGAGGAGUGAACCAAUGUUCUGCUUCUGAAUGAUUAUGAGGCACCAUAUGUACCAUUGAAGUUUCUCACCUAUGAUACACUGGGCCUUCAUCUUUAUCUAUCAAGUUAUAAGAUUAUCCAUGUAUAAAGCUGGCUGCAAAGCCCUUCACAAAUAAAAGUAUACCCCAUAAGUGCACAAAACAGACCCCCUUCUCACUUCUGUUGUUCACAGAGGCGGAAGCAACGGAAAAACAUUCAAAGAUAAGAGUCUCAUGAUAGUAAGAAGUCUUGAUCCAUGAUCUUCAGAAAGAGCUGCUCACAUCAAGGAUGCCAUCUUCUUCUGGGGAGAAACUUCCCUGAUUAGCUUUACCUUAAGGGUUUCAAUGGAUGUAGAGUUCCAAGAGUGACCCUGCUCAGUUGUGAGAUUAUGACCCCAAGGUUCAAGAUCCUGAUGUUUUGUUGCAGUGAUGAUGCCAAGGGCAGCGUUUCUCUGAUGUUCUCAGAAGAUCCCAUCUUUGGGUUCUAGAUUGUGAAGGGGUUGAUUGUCCUCAGUGAACCAUAAAAAGCUCUUUACCUGGUGAAAAUACACUGAUACAUAGUAAUCUACUGUUAUAACAUUAGCCCUCCUGCAUGGGAAAGCUUUAGUACAACCAGAACACAUACAUUGAAAAUGACAACUGAAUGAAACCCCUUUAUAAAUGUUUAAAUGCCUCAUCAGGUAGCCAAAUGUACAUGAAGCUUUGAUUGACUUCCCAGGAGUAUGGGUUUGACAAACUAAACAUUGUUUAUAAACUAUUUUAACAAUCUGUAAGUCACCACACCAACAUAUUUAAUUUGGAUCAUUUUAUCUUUUCCAGGAUGAGUCAUGGAAUGCAUAACUUUUAAUAACAAAAGCUUUAAGGACUCACGAAGGACAAGGCAGCCAUCUUGGUUCUCCAUGAGUCCAUGCUUAACAUCGGACUUAUGUCCUCUUGGGUGCCAGUUGUUUCUCCAAAUUGGGCACAUAGCAUGGAUAACUGAUGGGUUAUCACAGGGGAUGGAAAAAUCUCAACAAAAAAGGAGCGCAGAAGAGCCUGGCUAGGCGGGAGAACACGGUCAGGCCCGCAGGAGACGCCGCGGCACCUGCCAGAAAGAGAGCCGCAGGCCAAGACCAGGAGACGCGAGAGAGGUGGGCAGGGCUGCCCGAGAGACCCAGGCGGCCAUUGCCCGCCCUGCGUCUGCGCCUGCGCCGGAGCCUCCUCCACACUGCGCCAGCGCCGAGUCCGGCCGCCUCCUCAUUGCGCCGGCGCCGGGGCUUCCUCCACACCGCGCCUGCGCCGAUGACAACCCGCCUCUACAGGACGCCUGCGCAACGCCAUAGUCACCUCAUCAGCUCCGUGCACUUACGAGUCUCUCUCUGAUCGACCACGUGUUCCUGUCGGCUCACAGAGGCCGCCUCAGGGUCCUCCCCCAUUGUCUUCCUCGCACCCUCCACUGUUCCCGGCCCUUCACUCUGCGCUUGCGCAGGAGUCGCUCGCUCCUCUCUGCGCCUGCGCAGAGGCCACCUCCUCCCCGCCCGUCCGCUCCCUUGGCGUCGUCUUGGGCCGCGCCCCGACCCCUUCUGUUUACGCAUGCGCAGGAGCCGCCCUGCGCGGGUGGGGGGCUGAGCCCCUGUGGCUUCAGGUUUAAAGGCGCGAGCGCCACCCACGCAGGCACAAGGGCUCCUAGUCGUUUUAUUUUUAGCGUAAGGUUUUCCUCUUUAACAAGGAAGUAAAAAAAAAAGUUGUGCAAUAAAUAUUAAUCGUCCUUAUAUGUACUCGGGAACGUUCGUCCUUUAGGUUUUCUCCUGGCGCAUGGGCGCCGCCAAUCAUUUCGGGGCUUAUUUUGGUUCUAAAGCCCGGGGCAGCCAGGCCUCCCUGCCUGGCCUCGGCGGGGACGCGGGACCUGGGGCCCCGGACCGGGCCUAACCGCCCUGGCCGGUCCCCACUGAUGGUGGCGGUCGGUCCUGAUCGUCCUGAUGGCAGCGACCAGGCUGGACUCGGGCUGUGCAGGGGCGAGGGGAGCAGGGCGGGGUGACGCCCGGAGAGCGGCCUGGAGAGCGCGUGCUUCAGAAGGCGUGGGCACCCUGUCCCCUUUGCAGAUGGGGAUGCAGGCCCUGGUGGCGGUGGAGGGGAGAUGGGGGCAGGGACGUUGCCGGGCAGAGGAAGCUGGGUGAGUGUGCACUUGGUCCCCUUUGCUCCUCCCUGGGACUUUGGGCUCUAUAGGGCAGCCUCCGAGGCCCACGUGCACACUCGGUGAACCACAGUCCAGACACAGGCAGGGCGGCAGGCCAGGGAAGGAGAGGCCAGGUGUUGGUGCAUGGAGAGGCCAGGUGUUGGCCUGGGGGUGCUAAGUGAACCCCCAAGGUCGCGGAGACAGUAGGGCAACAGCAAAACGAGCUCUGCCGUCCAGGGCGAGGGCCCGGAGUCCUCCCCAGGGGUGGGCUGCAGAGAAGCCCCUGUCCAGGCCCUGCUCACCUGCAAAGUGCUCCCGAGCUCCUGUGCCCCCAGCAGCAAUCCCAGCCCCGCUGACACCCAAGCUUGUCACCCGCUGGGUUUCUUGAGGUCUGAGGACCGUGGCUGAGGGUGCAUGGGCGCUGGGAUGGAGGGGGAUGUCCUGUCCCAGUCUGUGCUUAUUAAUUGUUAAAGAGGGCAAGGCUGCUUUUAUUCAAGGUGGGGGGGCUGCUAAAGCGAGAUGUUGGGUUAGGGGAGGCAGAUCCGGCUCAACUCCAGAUAGAAAAAGUGGGAAUUGACAGCCCAGGCGUAGGGUCGGGAGUGGAGAGAAAAUUACUAAGAGGAAGGGUCAGGGGCAAGGCGGGUUCUAGCUGCAUAGACAGGAUUUUUGCUGAAAAGGCAGGCAGUGUGGUCACAGACCGAGGGUGGGAGUUGAGGACUUUGAUCAGGGACCAAGAGUAGACGAUUUUCACUAAACCGACUCAGCAGGAUUCUUGCUAAAUCGGCCGAAACCGGCCAAGGUCAGGGACUGGUCACAGGGAGGGCUCAGAGGAGCCUGACUCGAGUGUGGUCAAAGGAGAGAGUCUUUGUCAUCUUUUAAGAGGCGAGAGUGACGUAUUAGUGAGAAACGGUGAAGGGAUCAAGCUCAGGCCAGCAGCCCCGAGUUUGAGAUGAGGACAGGCUGGGUCCAGGAAGGGCUGCAGGAAUAGGGGGCACCUGAGCCUGCAGAAAGCGGGGAGCCCAGCCGCCAGAGCAGGCACCCCCAGGCAGACCUCAGUGUGUCCUGCCCUGUGGGAGUGGCAAGGCCAGACCAAGCUGGAUGUGAACCAGUCCCAGAACACCGCCUAGAAUUUGGAUUGUAAUUUGUUAUCGAUGAUAUUGCUGCUUGGUCUCUCUCCUCUUCCUCCCCACCCCCACCCAAGAUGGAGUCUGGCUUUGUCCCCCAGGCUGGAGUGCGAUGGCAGGAUCUCGGCUCACUGCAACCUCCGCCUCCUGGGUUCAAACAAUUCUCCUGCCUCAGCCUCCCAAAUAGCGGGGAUUACUGGUGCGUGCCACCACACCCAGCUAAUUUUUGUAUUUUUGGUAGAGACGGGGUUUCAUCAUGUUGGCCAGGCUAGUCUCAAACUCCUGACGUCGUGAUCCGCCCACCUCAGCCUCCCGAAAUGCUUUGGGAUUACGGGUGUGAGCCGCCGCGCCGAGCAUGGCCAUCGUGGCUACAUCAGUCCCGGCUAAUAGAGAUUUUAGCACACUCAGAUUCUAUUGGCUAAUAAGAUUUAAUUAUAAUUCUGGGGUAUUUAACAAUGUCGUUAUACAGUCUUCAUUGUUGCAAAUGGAGAAUGAAAUCGGGUGCAUGUGACACUAAUAUGACCUGUUCAUGCUCUGUCACUUAAACGGAGUUAAGUAACAUAGCCCUGAGCAGGAAGACUCCUUCCCCACUUCUGUCCAGGAGCUCCUUACUCGAUUCUGGGGAACAGAAAGGCUUUCAGCGGCCAAGGGGAGUGACAACAGCCAGACAUGAGACACCUCCUAGAGCCCUUUGGUGUUACCCUUUCCGGUCCAUCAGCCACAGUGUCCACCCCAGGUAGCUGGGUCCUGAGUUCACCGUCUCAGGACAUUUUUCGACCUGGUUUGUCUGAAUUAUUAUUAUUAUUGAUCAUUGAGACAGGGUCUCAGUCCAUCGCCAAGACUGGAGUGCAGUGGUGUGAUCCUGGCUUACUCAGCCUCCCAGGCUCAGGUGAUCCUCCCAGCUCAGCCUCCUGCGUAGCUGGGACCACAGGCAGGCACCACCAUGCCUGGCUAAAUUUUUUGUAUUUUUUGUAGAGACCAGCUCUCGCUAUGUUGUCCAGGUUGGUCUCAAACUGCUGCCUCAGCCUCCCAAGGUGCUGGGAUUACAGGCAUGAGGGACCAAGCUCAGCAAUCUGAAUUAUUUAUGCAGAAUUUUUUUUUCUCUAGCUGGAAGAGCUGUUUAUAUGCACGUUUCUUUGGGGGCAACUCUUCUCCAUUGUCACAGAUUUUUUUUUUCCAAGCCAUUCCUGGGGGAUUCCUGGGAGCCAUGUGGGAGAGGCGUGAGGAAGUGAGACCUUCACCCCGAGACAGGUCCUGACACACCCUCUGGUGCCUCUACUCAAGUGAGAAGUUUGGCUGCUGUAACUGACUGGGAAGCUUAAAAUAACAGACAAUCAUCUCUCACAUUUAUGGGGACUGGGAAGUCCAAGACCAAGUUGCCAUCUGGGGAGGGCCUGUUCCUCACAGCGCCUUCCAGCUCAGGCCUCGUUUAUAAGGGCACUCAAGCCUUCCACGACAACGGGUCCUCAUGACUUACUCACCUCGGAAAGCCCCACCCCCAAGACCAUCACAUUGUGGGUGAUGGCAGAGCAUAAGGUGCCUUCCCCACAUGCUCGGGUUGGCCCAGCGUCUCACGCUAGCAGCUACGUGGAAUAGUUAUUUUUUCUGGAGAACUCUGGGACCCCUCUGAUGUCUUGGAGCACCCACACAGGCCGUUCACUGUGCACGCUGUGAGGCUGUCGUCUUGGAGCACCCACACAGGCCGUUCACUGUGCACGUGGUGAGGCUGUCCUCUGGGGAGUUCUGCUGUUGUAUGGGUUCUGUCUGUGUCAAUGUCCCAGCGGGAACGCAGGGCACACUAGCGUCAUCCCCAGAGGGCUUGGUAAGGGGACUGUUUGCAGAGACAUAGGCAGAGGGCUGGAAAACUACCAAAAAAGUGCAGUGUUCUGGACCUAAUAAUAGCAGAGCUAUUCUCACCCUGGUCUGAAGGCAGGAGGGGAGGAGCAGUUAAUGGAUUCUGGAAGUCAGGUUGCACAGAGUCACCUUGAAAGAUGCCAUGACCUUCACCGAGGGCCAGACAGAGACUAAGAUGACCCCAUAGGAGAAUAAGACCUAGACCUCAUCCUCCUGCCUCCUGCCAGUCCCUGCCAGGGGUCGCCAAUGGCAAAACAGGACUGGAAGCCAGAGGCCAUGGAAGCCCAUGGAUGAAGUCCACAGGCCAGCCUCCCCGAGAGCAGCCUGGACGGUCCGCAGGAGACGUCUCCUGUCUUAGGCGUCCCACGCCGCGUGCUCCUGUUCAGCCCUGCCGAGGUGGAAGCUUGGAGUGGCUCACGGUGGAUGCAUUGACGCUGCAGACGCCAGCAAGUGCUACAAACCAGAGCUGGCCUUUAACUCAGACUGAUGGAGAAGGUGUUAAUAAUGCAGAUUAGACUUAAAAGUGUUGAAGCCAUUGCACUGUGAACAGCAAAAAAAUUGAAGAACUCUUCUGGCAUUUAAAAACAAUUACUCAGUUCAGCAGAGAAGUCACUGACAAACGAGAUCACACUGACUGCUUUGUCGUUUUGGUUUUGUCUUACUCAUUAAUGCAAAUAAGAACAUUCACUAGCAUCUGUGUCGGGCCUACCCUCCCUGGUCAAAUACAGCUACAGUCUCCCUGCAGAAACGAGUUUUCCAGAAAUGAGCCGAUGUUUUCUGCGAGAAUCAAUUGGUCAUAUACAAUUUACAAAAAUGAGUACUGUAUACUAUAUUUGUAAACUGUACACUGCAGAUGCUUUAUUUCACUGAAAUUUAUAAUACACUUAUCCAUGUAUAUGCAUGCAUGCAUUUUUGUUCCUGAGAUCCAGCUGUGAAAUGUUUACCAGCACAUAAAUUACCAGCACAUGCUCUUUUUUGUUAACCUACUAGGUAAAAUCUUCAUUUAUUACAUCAAAUUCUUGUAGUUUUUGUAUUGCAAUUAUGCAGAUAUUGAUUAUCGCAGUAUUACUGCAAUUAUACAGAUACCACAAUUUCAGAUAUUGAUCAGCGUGUUCAGUUGGUUUCUAAGGAGGUUUACUUACCUCAUGGUACACCUAGUUUGCAUAGUUUGAUUAUAUUUAACUCUUAUGCUAAUUGGGGGAAGUCAUUGAUUUAUUGGACAGAUGCACCUGUGGUCUUCCCUGAGCACAUCCUGGCCAAGGAUGCUGCCCCCAGGAGAUUUGAGAAGUCCUGUAAGGAUCAUAUCAGUAUUUUCAAAUACUUAUAGAAAAGCCAGAGGGAUUGACCCAGAAUUACCAAUAUAAGCUUGACCCUGAGAUAACAAUGCCAUUUUAUGUUUGCAUGCAUAAAACCAAUGCAAGAGGCUGAUGACUCCAGAUCCCUUAUAUAAGCCAAUAAAAAGUAGUUUCAUUUUUUAUUUCAUUUAAAAAA
This 9191-nucleotide long non-coding RNA is filed under the name Homo sapiens (human). Lineage: Eukaryota; Metazoa; Chordata; Mammalia; Primates; Hominidae. The record is from RNAcentral.